RNAcentral lists this ribosomal RNA (253 nucleotides) under uncultured bacterium. RNAcentral describes it as "partial 16S ribosomal RNA". It matches the Rfam family "Bacterial small subunit ribosomal RNA", at positions 524 to 776 of the family's 1533-position model. The record is from RNAcentral.
UACGAAGGGUGCAAGCGUUAAUCGGAAUUACUGGGCGUAAAGCGUGCGCAGGCGGUUCGUUAUGUCUGUUGUGAAAGCCCCGGGCUCAACCUGGGAAUGGCAAUGGAAACUGGCGAGCUAGAGUGUGGCAGAGGGGGGUGGAAUUCCGCGUGUAGCAGUGAAAUGCGUAGAGAUGCGGAGGAACACCGAUGGCGAAGGCAGCCCCCUGGGCUAACACUGACGCUCAGGCACGAAAGCGUGGGGAGCAAACAGG